This 490-nucleotide ribosomal RNA is filed under the name uncultured bacterium. RNAcentral describes it as "partial 16S ribosomal RNA". It matches the Rfam family "Bacterial small subunit ribosomal RNA", at positions 30 to 507 of the family's 1533-position model. The record is from RNAcentral.
AUUGAACGCUGGCGGCAGGCCUAACACAUGCAAGUCGAACGGUAACAGGAAGAAGCUUGCUUCUUUGCUGACGAGUGGCGGACGGGUGAGUAAUGUCUGGGAAACUGCCUGAUGGAGGGGGAUAACUACUGGAAACGGUAGCUAAUACCGCAUAACGUCGCAAGACCAAGGAGGGGGACCUUCGGGCCUCUUGCCAUCGGAUGUGCCCAGAUGGGAUUAGCUAGUAGGUGGGGUAACGGCUCACCUAGGCGACGAUCCCUAGCUGGUCUGAGAGGGUGACCAGCCACACUGGAACUGAGACACGGUCCAGACUCCUACGGGAGGCAGCAGUGGGGAAUAUUGCACAAUGGGCGCAAGCCUGAUGCAGCCAUGCCGCGUGUAUGAAGAAGGCCUUCGGGUUGUAAAGUACUUUCAGCGGGGAGGAAGGGAGUAAAGUUAAUACCUUUGCUCAUUGACGUUACCCGCAGAAGAAGCACCGGCUAACUCCGUG